UACGUAGGGUGCGAGCGUUGUCCGGAAUUAUUGGGCGUAAAGAGCUCGUAGGCGGUUUGUCGCGUCUGCCGUGAAAGUCCGGGGCUCAACUCCGGAUCUGCGGUGGGUACGGGCAGACUAGAGUGAUGUAGGGGAGACUGGAAUUCCUGGUGUAGCGGUGAAAUGCGCAGAUAUCAGGAGGAACACCGAUGGCGAAGGCAGGUCUCUGGGCAUUAACUGACGCUGAGGAGCGAAAGCGUGGGUAGCAAACAGG
This 253-nucleotide ribosomal RNA is filed under the name uncultured bacterium. RNAcentral describes it as "partial 16S ribosomal RNA". It matches the Rfam family "Bacterial small subunit ribosomal RNA", at positions 524 to 776 of the family's 1533-position model. The record is from RNAcentral.